UUCUCGGUUCGGUUCCGGUUCGGUUCGGUUAUUUCGGAUAUAAAAAUAUAGGAACCGUUCGGGUAUUUGAGGGUAUUGGUCCGGUUCCGGUUUCGGGUAUUUCGGUUCGGUUCCGGUUCGGUUCUUCGGUUCCGGUUAUUUUGCCCAGGCCUAGUGUUGAUAUUGAAGGAAUUUACCAGUUUAUCCAGGUUAAUAGGAAGGUCUCUCUCUAUCUAAUUAUCUGUUUCCAUGGUUUUGAUCUGAGUUGAUGCGGGUGAGACAAUGAUUGCCACUUGGUUUGCUUACUCCUCCAUUGUUCUUGAUCACCAUCAUCAUGCUGCACGUCAGUCAAAACUGUUUUGGUGGUUGAUAAAUUGCAGGAAAGGUUUAAAAGGAAUGUUGUACGGCCAAAUCAUAGGCAGCUGUUGGAAGAAGGGCUGCAAAAACGUGUUUCUCAAUGCAUACUAGAGAAGGUAGAAACCCACUACAAGAUCCUCGAUAUUACUCCUGAAAAACUAGAUGAGAUAAAUGAGGCCGCAGCAAAAGCAGUUGCAGUGUCUGAUCAGAAAGAUUUAGAAGCGAAAGCAGCAUACGAAGCUGCAGAUAGGGCCAAAAAGGUGCUGGAAGAAAACGAACUAGUCUUGCAGGCGGCCAAAGAAGCUCUUGACCGAUGUACCAAAGGCGACUAGCUAGGUUUCCCUGCCUGCCCUAAAAGCUCUACCUUCUGGUCUGGUUCAAUGUAGACGUAUUGGAGGACUGGUUCUUUGAUAGUUUGGGUUUUGAGUUGCAUAUAUGUGAUUUCAUUGACUAAAACUUUGUCACUUUCUGUUUAGCUUUUGAGGUUAAACGUUUCUGGUUGUAUAUAACUAAAGUUUCAGAGAAUGUGGCGGUGGGGUGGGCAGCUUUAUAUGAACGAAUCACUUUCAAGGAAAUCAGUUCAGCUUGUGGUAUACUCAUGAUGCAACGCUUUUACAAACGCAAGUUCUCCGUACCGUUAACAUUUGACUCAAAGCAUGAAAUAUCCUUAGCUCUUCACCAAUGCUGCUGCAUUACCUUCUCUUCAGAGGUUUCGAUAUUACCAGGUUUUGUAGAAUGCGAAGCCUUUCAGAGUCAGAUUACAACAGCUUUUAUUGCAGCAGAGGCAGUCAAAGAAGCGAGGAGAAGAAGUUGAGAAAGCUUACACUUAGAUUCCCAGCUAAAAGCUCUCGUAUACAACGAGAAUAAGAAACAGUAGCAGCAGACAUCGGAGCUCCGCACAAUCGGCGACGCAGUCACUGGGUCAAAUGUAAUAUACGAUAAAAGAUUUGAUCUUUCGACUUGUGUUUCUCUCUGACAAGAACUAAAAGGUUUUGUACAAAACUAUACAAAUUCGAUUCGUAAUGAGAAAAAGGAAAUUUGGAUCAAAAAGAAGAAAAAAAGAAAAGAUGCAGAAAUUGGGAGACGAAAAGCCAACUGAUCCAGAAAAAGAAUGCAACUUCAAGAACCCACAUUGCACAUCAUUUCAUCAACCGUCUUUUGCUUUGUUUUAAUUUUUUGGCAGGUUGUCUUGUCAUAGAGCUUCUAAGUUUUUAAGUUUUGGGUUUGGUUCGGCUACGUGGACUGGUUCUUUAAUAUUGGGCGAGGGAAUAGAUAACUGUUUCCUUGUGUGAUACGUCAACAAUGUUUCUUAACACUAUACUUUUUUUUCAGUAGAAUUUUUAUUGAUAAUUUUGGAAAGAUACACGGUGAAAUCCUAAUAGCCGGCGGAAGACAUAGAUAUCCCCGGAAACUAAACCCAAAACACGGGAAACUAAAACCCAAACAUACGGGCCUCAUACGAACAACUGAAACAUAGACUAAACUCUUACAUUCCUUCAAAAACCCAUAAUCUAAUUAUCAGUGAUAAAAGAACCAAUAUUUGAUUGCUUAAGACUAGCCGAAGAUCUUACCAACAACU
Long non-coding RNA from Brassica napus (rape), 1915 nucleotides. RefSeq lists it as uncharacterized. The transcript is spliced from 3 exons. The record is from RefSeq and is a predicted model, not a curated record. NCBI's taxonomy places the organism in Eukaryota, Viridiplantae, Streptophyta, Magnoliopsida, Brassicales, Brassicaceae.